AGAUAUUAGGGUCAGAUAUUAGGGUCAGACAUUAGGGUCAGAUAUUAGGGUCAGACAUUAGGGUCAGAUAUUAGGGUCAGACAUUAGGGUCAGACAUUAGGGUCAGAUAUUAGGGUUAGAUAUUAGGGUCAGACAUUAGGGUCAGACAUUAGGGUCAGAAAUUAGGGUUAGCAGUGUGGUUAAGGUUAGGGUCAGACAUUAGGGUUAGCAGUGUGGUUAAGGUUAGGGUCAGACAUUAGGGUUAGCAGUGUGGUUAAGGUUAAGGUCAAACAUUAGGGUUAGCAGUGUGGUUAAGGUUAGGGUCAGACAUUAGGGUCAGACAUUAGGGUCAGACAUUAGGGUCAGAUAUUAGGGUCAGAUAUUAGGGUCAGACAUUAGGGUUAGCAGUGUGGUUAA
Long non-coding RNA from Oncorhynchus tshawytscha (Chinook salmon), 396 nucleotides. NCBI's taxonomy places the organism in Eukaryota, Metazoa, Chordata, Actinopteri, Salmoniformes, Salmonidae. The record is from Ensembl.